RNAcentral lists this ribosomal RNA (254 nucleotides) under uncultured bacterium. RNAcentral describes it as "partial 16S ribosomal RNA". It matches the Rfam family "Bacterial small subunit ribosomal RNA", at positions 524 to 776 of the family's 1533-position model. The record is from RNAcentral.
UACGUAGGGUGCAAGCGUUAAUACGGAAUUACUGGGCGUAAAGCGUGCGCAGGCGGUUGUGCAAGACAGAUGUGAAAUCCCCGGGCUCAACCUGGGAAUUGCAUUUGUGACUGCACGGCUAGAGUGUGUCAGAGGGGGGUAGAAUUCCACGUGUAGCAGUGAAAUGCGUAGAGAUGUGGAGGAAUACCGAUGGCGAAGGCAGCCCCCUGGGAUAACACUGACGCUCAUGCACGAAAGCGUGGGGAGCAAACAGG